RNAcentral lists this ribosomal RNA (1028 nucleotides) under Escherichia coli. RNAcentral's name for it is "partial 23S ribosomal RNA". It matches the Rfam family "Bacterial large subunit ribosomal RNA", at positions 144 to 1212 of the family's 2925-position model. The record is from RNAcentral. Lineage: Bacteria; Pseudomonadati; Pseudomonadota; Gammaproteobacteria; Enterobacterales; Enterobacteriaceae.
CACACUAUCAUUAACUGAAUCCAUAGGUUAAUGAGGCGAACCGGGGGAACUGAAACAUCUAAGUACCCCGAGGAAAAGAAAUCAACCGAGAUUCCCCCAGUAGCGGCGAGCGAACGGGGAGCAGCCCAGAGCCUGAAUCAGUGUGUGUGUUAGUGGAAGCGUCUGGAAAGGCGCGCGAUACAGGGUGACAGCCCCGUACACAAAAAUGCACAUGCUGUGAGCUCGAUGAGUAGGGCGGGACACGUGGUAUCCUGUCUGAAUAUGGGGGGACCAUCCUCCAAGGCUAAAUACUCCUGACUGACCGAUAGUGAACCAGUACCGUGAGGGAAAGGCGAAAAGAACCCCGGCGAGGGGAGUGAAAAAGAACCUGAAACCGUGUACGUACAAGCAGUGGGAGCACGCUUAGGCGUGUGACUGCGUACCUUUUGUAUAAUGGGUCAGCGACUUAUAUUCUGUAGCAAGGUUAACCGAAUAGGGGAGCCGAAGGGAAACCGAGUCUUAACUGGGCGUUAAGUUGCAGGGUAUAGACCCGAAACCCGGUGAUCUAGCCAUGGGCAGGUUGAAGGUUGGGUAACACUAACUGGAGGACCGAACCGACUAAUGUUGAAAAAUUAGCGGAUGACUUGUGGCUGGGGGUGAAAGGCCAAUCAAACCGGGAGAUAGCUGGUUCUCCCCGAAAGCUAUUUAGGUAGCGCCUCGUGAAUUCAUCUCCGGGGGUAGAGCACUGUUUCGGCAAGGGGGUCAUCCCGACUUACCAACCCGAUGCAAACUGCGAAUACCGGAGAAUGUUAUCACGGGAGACACACGGCGGGUGCUAACGUCCGUCGUGAAGAGGGAAACAACCCAGACCGCCAGCUAAGGUCCCAAAGUCAUGGUUAAGUGGGAAACGAUGUGGGAAGGCCCAGACAGCCAGGAUGUUGGCUUAGAAGCAGCCAUCAUUUAAAGAAAGCGUAAUAGCUCACUGGUCGAGUCGGCCUGCGCGGAAGAUGUAACGGGGCUAAACCAUGCACCGAAGCUGCGGCAGCGAC